UAGUUGAAGUUUACAACGACGGUUUUUCAAGUCGUAGUUCUUGGAGAAAAGCCAAGCA
RNAcentral lists this transfer RNA (58 nucleotides) under Ectopistes migratorius (passenger pigeon). RNAcentral describes it as "partial tRNA-Glu". Lineage: Eukaryota; Metazoa; Chordata; Aves; Columbiformes; Columbidae. The record is from RNAcentral.